AGAACGAACGCUGGCGGCAUGCCUAAUACAUGCAAGUCGAACGAACACUUCGGUGUUAGUGGCGCACGGGUGCGUAACGCGUGGGAAUCUGCCCUUGGGCUCGGAAUAACAGUUGGAAACGACUGCUAAUACCGGAUGAUAUCGAAAGAUCAAAGAUUUAUCGCCCAGGGAUGAGCCCGCGUAGGAUUAGCUAGUUGGUGAGGUAAAGGCUCACCAAGGCGACGAUCCUUAGCUGGUCUGAGAGGAUGAUCAGCCACACUGGGACUGAGACACGGCCCAGACUCCUACGGGAGGCAGCAGUGGGGAAUAUUGGACAAUGGGCGAAAGCCUGAUCCAGCCAUGCCGCGUGUGUGAAGAAGGUCUUCGGAUUGUAAAGCAACUUUAAGUUGGAGGAAGGGUUGUAACCUAAUACGUUGCAACUUUGACGUUACCGACAGAAUAAGCACCGGCUAACUUCGUGCCAGCAGCCGC
This 471-nucleotide ribosomal RNA is filed under the name uncultured soil bacterium. RNAcentral's name for it is "bacterial SSU rRNA". It matches the Rfam family "Bacterial small subunit ribosomal RNA", at positions 26 to 518 of the family's 1533-position model. The record is from RNAcentral.